GCCAAUCAGUGGUUUGCUAGGUUGUGAACAGGUUGAAGGUUUCAUGGCAAUGUUGAGAGGCUCACAUUUAAGUGGUAGGCAGCAAGGCAUAUCGAAAGAAACGAGACAACUAGCAUGGGAAUGAUAGUAAUGGUAUCUGGGAAAUGAUCAUCUUUCCUGAGAUCCCGCUUGGAAGAAGAAUGACUCCGUGAGGCAGACGAACCGACGUAGUCGAACGGGUACUGACUUUCUGACACGCUUGCGGAACUCUAUCGAGAUGAAGCAAACCGGAAAUAAGAAUCAACACACGAUAUUCACCAUGCGAUGCACAAUACAAAUGAUGCAUGAGCGGUUACAUUUAUGCACGGUAUGACAUGGCAACUCACACAAUCAAACACUACACAUUAAGUG
Molecule: long non-coding RNA, 390 nt
Filed under: Hordeum vulgare
Lineage: Eukaryota; Viridiplantae; Streptophyta; Magnoliopsida; Poales; Poaceae
Description: long non-coding RNA (HVUL_LNC007032)
Source: RNAcentral